This 7559-nucleotide long non-coding RNA is filed under the name Fragaria vesca (wild strawberry). Its description in RNAcentral is "long non-coding RNA (FVES_LNC003241)". Lineage: Eukaryota; Viridiplantae; Streptophyta; Magnoliopsida; Rosales; Rosaceae. The record is from RNAcentral.
GAUGAACUAAUUGCUAUACGAGUAUCAGAGAAAAAUAACGCAGCAUGAGAACACAAUAGAAGGCCUUGUAUUAUGAUCCAGGGAAGAAAAAGACAAACCAUCUAGGAUUUAGAAAUCCAUUUGGCUCACUGAUUGUGUAGGAAACCCUACAUUUUAGUCGGUUGCUUAGACUUCAAGUCAAUAGUUUCUAUAAAAUGCAUGGGACCAAACCUUGCUGCCUUACACCACUCAUCCGAAGCCCUAGUUUCUAUAAAUCCAUUGAAACCCUUCUGCUCAUAUCUUCUUCAUAGCCAUCUGAAGCCCUAGUCACAUUUAUUAGUUUCUAUAUAUUCAUCCGCCUGAAACCCUAAUUCAUCAUCAUCUCUUCUUUCCUCAAACAACUCUUUCCAAAAUCAAGAAAAGCAAGAAACAUGCAGCAAGCGUCUGCAAUGGAGGAGAUCAGAAACAAUCAACUUCCUGGUGUGAGGUUCUGCCCUAUGGAGGACGAGCUUCUUCUCUUCUACCUCAAGCCGAUGUUGAGUGGACAGAACGUGCUCGGCAGAAACAAGGUCGUCUUCGAUUGCGAUCUCUACGGUCAGCAAGAACCUUGGGAGAUAUGGGAGGCUUACAAGACCAAAAGACCAAACGACUUGAGGCUCCACAAGGACCUCUACUUCUUCACCCAACACAAGAAGAUGAAAUCCACAGACAAACGCAUACGCCGCACCGUUGGAAGUGGCACCUGGAAGGGAAACGACUCCGGGAAGCCAGUAAAAUCUUCCGGUCGUAAGAUUGGUUUGAAGAAAAGAUUUACCUACGGGAAUGAAAAAUCGAAGCACCACGGUUGUUGGAUCCUGCAUGAGUUCUACCUUGAUCCGUCACUCAGAGAUAAGAAAGAGAAGGUGAAAGACUAUGUUCUUUGUGUGCUACGAAAAAACGAUGAAUCAAAAAGCAAGAUCGAAAAGAAGAGAAAGCAACGUGAGGAGGAAGACUUUCUUGAUGAAAAUGAUGCAUGUGAUGAUGGAGAACAAUCAAAUAUGGAGCAAGAAGGGUUGCUUGAGACACAAGCGAAGCGACAACGAACCGUCUGCCCAGUACCUACGCCAUCAGAAGUUGAUGCAUUCAUAGCUUCGCUAGAAGGGUCAAUGGAAUGCGUUCAAGAUGAUAACUCACCUCCAUCGGAAGCUGAAGCAAUUGGCUUUCAAGGUGUGGAGGAUGGGGGACUCCAACAAUUAGCUCUUGAGGUGCAAUCAGGCCCUUCUUUUGUUCCACUGCCGGAGGAAGAUUUUCUCAUGGAGCAAUGUUUUGAAGAAUUACGUAACUACGAAGAAAGGGAAGAACAAGAUCCAGCGGGGAGCAACAAUGUUUGUGGACCGCCAGUACCUACGCCAUCAGAAGUUGAUGCAAUAUUCAUAGCUGAGCUAGAAGGGUCAAUGGAAUGCGUUCAAAAUGAUUUCUCACGUCCAUCGAAAGCCGAAGCAAUUGGCUUUCAAGGUGUGGAGGAUGGGGGAAUCCAACAAUUAGCUUGUGAGUUGCAAUCAGGCCCUUCUUUUGUUCCACUGCCGGAGGAAGCUUUUCUCAUGGAGCAAUGUUUUGAAGAAUUACGUAACUACGAAGAAACGGAAGAACAAGAUCCAGCAGGGAGUAACAAUAUUUGUGGAGGAUUGAUUGACCAUAAUAGUGAUGAUUGGAUAAACUCAAUCAGUUUUAGUCCUGAGGAUAACGAUUUCGUUUCAUGUGAAAUGCUAUCGUCUUUCUUUGCUGACACUGCUGGCCUGCCAUAGUUAUGCAGCGAGGGGUAAAACCUGAGGGUGACAGAUUGACAGACAGCGGAGUUAGUGAAUGACGUUGUUUAAUUUGUUGCACCUUCUUGUUUCCUCUUCUUUUUGUAAAAUAUUACUGAAAUCUUCAGAGUUUCAAUCAAAGUGAAAAAUGAGUACAUUUCAGAUCUUUUUGUUCUCACAAUCUGCAUGUCUUAAUCAAACAUUUAAACCUAUAAACUUCAGCUUUUGGUACUUACAUGAGACGUCUCAUUUACAAAAGUUCAAAUGCGCGCAGAAGGCAUGUACCUCAAUUACUACCUUGAUUGAGCAAAAACACAUGUUAAGGAAAACUGCAGAAAGAUGAAUUAAAUCUUUUCAAAAUAGAAUUAGCUUAAAAAGUAAUACAUAAGGACGUACUAAUACAUUCUUGAAGACUUUAAUGUAACAUUCCCAAUAUCAGAUGGUGGCAGCUGUUACAGUGUUACAACACUUAGCCUCUCAUUGUCUAGGACCAAGAAGAUCGAAGAAAACACCUUAGCCUCUUAAGAAUAGGAAAGAGGGAAGCGGAAUGGUUUAAUGUUCUGAAGUAUAUGUUGUAUCAUUUUGAGAUUUUUACUUCUUUUAUCACCUUCCAAUCCCCCCUCCCCUCCCUCUUUUUUUGUUUCUUUAAUAGUUGAGGGUAAGUUCAUCAAAAGUAGUCUAACACAUGUACAAGGUGAUGUAUUUUUUUGAAUAAUGUUAGAAAAAGCCAUUUUCUUUAAAACUGGUAACUCUAGCUGCAUUAAUCUUGAGAUUGGUCGACAUGCAUCUGCUAACUUCUUGUGGUGAUAUAUAUCAAGAGCAACAUAACGUUUCUUCUUAAUAAAUGUUAGACCUUGUCGAAUGCAACUUCUGGAAAUGCAGCUUUGUAAUCAUCAUCAGUUGAUGAUAUAUGAAGCCUUAGCGUUUCUAUUUCUGUUAAAAACUCAAGAAUUGAUAACAGUAAGCAGCAUGGUCCUUUUAUGGGAGCUCAACAGUAAAACAUCAAUCUCCAAGAAAAAGAUGUACACAACUUAUUCGAUCAUAACUCAGAAACUACAGUAUUCAAAGCUCCAGUACACUUAACUUCAUUAGAUAUAGCAAAAAAAAACAAAAGCAAAAGACUGAUAAUAAAUCUUGGUUUUUCACAUGUUUCAGCAAUUCAGCUACCAAAUUCUGGUGAAACUAAUGUGUCCAAGUACACAACUAGUGAGUAAUAAAAGUACACAACAAAUGAUGCACGCCCGGAAAUAGUUGGAGACAGAAAAAUAGUCCUAUAUUUAUUUUCUUUGGGAUCAUAUACUACGUACUCCUUUACAUCCAUAAUCAUCAAAACUUCACCAUUCUCCAAAAUGUGCUUUGGCGUUAGAGACAUCUUGUAAGGUACAAUAUUGGUAGGAAUGUUCAUGAGCUUAGUCCAUGGUUUAUCCUUCCCAUAUUCACUCAUCAGCCAUAUUGCCAUUGGCAUAGAUCUGAUAGUACUGUAAGUGUAAUAGCGCGCAUAGACAAUUUCUGAUACUUCCAAUUCCAAUUCUAAACAUUGGUCUUCCGCACACAAUACGGCAUAGUUGCUCACAUUUCUCCUUUGCCAAGUCAAAUGAAAUGAUUCUAGUAGAGUUGCACUCUGAAUCUAGCCAAUGUAGUGCUCCAUUCACAAAGCACCCUUGUCCAUUCAAAUUAAUAAACUUGAAGUCUUCAACAGUCCUCCAUGAACCUGUUUUCAGUGUAAAUAUACCAAAUUUGGUUUUUUCAGCUACGCGACUGCUAUCUCCAAAUAUAAACCUGUAAUCUUCAGUGUUGGAGUCAUAAUCAAAUCCAUGAAACCAGAUUGAACCCUUGGUAAAAUUAUGUUUCGGUACUUUCUUAAUCACUCUAGUACUAGGGUUCCAUAUGAAAAUAUCAUGACGGUAUAUAUAUACCAUCAAACAUCGUCUCUUGCAAACAUAUCAAGCCAUUGGAAGAACCAAGAAUUAUGGACCGGCCAAGUAAAUCCUCUGCAAAAGAAUCUUGCUGACGAUGAACCUCCAAUCCUUGGAGAUCUACAGUUCUGGGACGACCAUAUAAGAGAUUCAAGAAUAGAAGCCUGAAGCUUCUGGAUGUGUCUGUGACUGCAUUGGCAACGAAACCAGUUGCUGCUGCGGGACUAGGCCCUCUGCCAUGUUAAUUAACGGUGAAACCUUAAAGCAUAAAGAGUGCGGUUAUUGUGACCUCCAAAUUUGCUCACUUGACCUUAUUUUGUUAUGAGUUAUUGAAUGACAAUUAUCUCCUCUUACGUAAUGACUAUUAUAGACAACAAUCAUACAAAAAGAAGUAUAUUUAUUCUCUUUAGACUUUGCAAUUCGAUAAUUAAUUGAUUGUAUUCUUUAUUAUUUUCUUUAUAUAUUUUUAGGUUCUAAUUUACUAUUUUCUAAAUUUUACUACAUAUUAUAUAUAUUUAAUUAAAGCUAAAACUAUGAUCAAUAUCGACAUAAAAUUUUCUAUUAUCAUACAUGUUGAAAGCAUAUAUAUAUAUACACAUAUAUAUAAAAUUUCAGAUACGGACGUCCGCACCGCCUUACGGUGCGGAUUUCUCUCCGUUCGCCACCGUACGGCGCCGGCGAGGGCGCACCUCCACCCCAGUGGACUCUAGCAGCUUCCCCGACCUCUUUCCACCCCGGCGAGUCCGCCGAAUUCCAGUUUUCCUGCCGGAUUGACUUUGUUUGAAGUUUUGGGUGAUCUUGCCGGAAAACUGGAAUUCGGCGGACUCGCUGGAGAUGGAAAGAGGUCGGGGAAGCUGCUGGAGUCCGUUAGGGUGGAGGCGCUCCCUCGCCGGUGCCGUACGGUGGCGAAAGGAGGGACAUCCACACGGUGCGAACGUCCUCACCUGAUAACGUCUGUAUAUAUAUACACACACACACACACACAAGGUGAAGGAAUAUAUAUGCAUGCAAAAACAAAUCAAUAAUGAAAAAUUAAAUAACUAUUGAAAUAAUUUAUGAUGUACAUAAAAUAGAGGGAUAAAAAAAACAUACAUAGUAUACAAUUGUUAUCCUUGAUCGUUGUUUAGAACAAUUAAAAAAAAAAACUAAUUUUAUGUUUAGAAUAUUUUCUUAUUGGUAAAUAAAGUUUUUUUUUUUAUCAGAUAAACAACUAAUAUGCUACAACGAGUCUACCAUAAGUCGAACUCACGACCUCUCGCUUAUAAGGAGAAACGGUAUUGGGCUGAAAAAUAUAAGUUUUUGAAACCCAAUACUUUGUGUUAUUUGAUUUUUAAGAGGAAAAUUGACAUCAUUGAAAAAAAUUUCAAACAAAUUGAUCAAAUAAUGGAGAUUUGGUGACAUUCUAUGGGAAAUAAAAAAUAUCAAGAGAGGUUUGAACGAAAAAAAAAUCAAGGAAUAGAGGUCUCGAUGAUAGCAUGCAAAAAGAAAAAAAAAAUUAAAAGAAUGAGAGGUCUAGAGAAUAAAUAAGAGGUAUAAUGAGUAAAUUAUCAAGAUACAUGUGAAUAACAUACCUAAGGUUAUUUUAGGAAUUUAAAAGGAGGUCUAGUGAGCAAAUGUUUGUAGUUAAAAUUAAAAAGGAGAUGUAAAUAACAUGAGAGGUAUACUAAGCAAAUUUGGAGAUCCCAAUAAUUAACCGCACUCAAGCAUAAAUCAUAAAAUUGGCCCUUGUAGGAUUUUUGCAUUCCUUUCUGAAGGAUUUUAUAAACACUAGCUCCACAACAAACCCAAUGGGUGUAGGAUUAUGUACCAUACCCUAAACCUUAAACCCUAAAUGAAAAUCCAAAAUAUGACAAACCCUAUAACCAAAACCUGCGAAAGCCAACUCUAGCCCUAGCUAGCCUACGUGGAGCUCACGAUGUGUUGGGAAAUAGUAACGUAAUGUAAAUGGCCUCUCGCAUAAAAUAAUUGCAAAUUGAGAAAAUUACAGAGUAACACAUGAUCAAAUUUAUAAACACAAAAAACCCAUUUACAAUAAUUUUUAGACAAAUUAAGACAUGAACUCAAUCCCAUAACCAAUAACAGCUGGCCUGACUUGAAUUUUUACUGCCGAAAUGACGAAAAUGUUCGGUUUCACCAUAAAUUUACAAAGAUGCCACUAAGUCUCCAUUCUCUUUUUCCUCACCCACCCCGGCUGACUUGAAUUUUUACUGCCGAAAUGACGAAAAUGUUCGGUUUCACCAUAAAUUUACAAUGAUGCCACUAAGUCUCCAUUCUCUUUUUCCUCACCCACCCCACUGAUUUGCUUUCUCUCUCUUCUCUCUCUCUGUCUCUCUCCUCUGAUCUGCUCUCCCUUUCUCUCUCUCUAGCUUUCCCUAAAUCAUCAACCAUGAUCCAUAAAUUCAUGGAUCGUAAAUCGCUUCGGCAUGGCUGUGGUGAUUCCGAUGAAGCCCAAGCUUGACUUUGCCGGCCGGCGAGAUCUGUAAGUAGCCUAAGCUCCUCUGUGUUUGAGGCAAUAGAACAUACUUCAUAUGCCGAUGUUGUCGGAUUGGUUGAUUAAGUUUAUUUUGCGGAAUUCCGGUGUUGAUUUGUGAGGUUUUGAACUAUGUAGGUUUUGGUCACCGAGGAGGUGGACGAGGUCGACGCUUUAAUCUGACUUUGUAAUCUUGUGUUGGAUCUAAGAUCACUAUUACUGAGUUGUGGAAUAAUUUGGCUGAAAUAAUGAGGUCUCUCUCUUCUUUCUCUAUCUCUCUCUCAGUAGCAGCAUAAACCUCCUCAGUAGCAGCACUACAAUAGUGAAUUAAACAAUGGAAGCAGCAACAGCCAUAGCUUUGCAAUCUGACAGUAGCAACAUUUCAAUAAUGAUCUAAACAAUAGCGGUAGCAGCUAACUUCAUGGUCGACAGUAGCAACUAGCUUCACAGUAAGCAGUAGCAGUAAGUUUCAUAAUUGGCAGUAGAAAUGGCAGUAGCACCUUUUGACUCAGCAGUAGGCAGUAGCACCUUCCUACUCAGCAGUAAUACCUUCUUACUCGGCAAACAGUAGCACAUCUCUCAAACAGUAGCUUACUCGGAAGGCAGUAGCACAUCUCUCAUACAGUAGCAGUAGAGUAGGUAGUGAAUGGUAGUUUGGUAAAAUAUGUAGUGACAGAUGACAUGUAGAUAUUAAUUUGUCCUAAUUUGUUAAUUUUUGUCCUUAAAUGUGUAAGAUAUUGUAUAAAUGAUGUAUUUGUAAACUGAAAUUUAGUUAGUAACUAAUAUGUAUUUUACUAUUAUAGAUUUGCUUAAGAUCAGAUUCAAGGGAAAAUAUAUAAACAGAAACCAUAUAGGAGUUGGAAAUCCAAUUGGCUCCCUGUUUGUGUAGGAAAAGCCUACAUUUUUCCUUUUCUUUAUCCAUGUUUGUGUAGGAAACUAUUGGCUCACUGGUUUUGUAGAAGGACCCUAACUUGGUUUCUUAGACUCCAAAUCAAUAGUAUCUAUAAAAUGGGAUCAAACCUCACUCAUAUCUACCCCACUCAUCCAAAGCCCUAGUUUCUAUAAAUCCGCUGAAACUCUAGUUCCUCAUCAUCUCUUCUUUCUUAAAACAACCCUUUCCAAAACCAAGAAAAGAAAGAAACAUACAACAAGUGUCUGUAAUGGAGGAGAUCAGAAACAAUCAACUUCCUGGUGAGAGGUUCUGCCCUUUGGAGGACGAGCUACUUCUCUUCUACCUCAAGCCAAUGUUGAGUGGACAGAACGUGCUCGGCCGAAACAGCGUCGUCUUCGAUUGCGAUCUCUACGGUCCUCAAGAACCGUGGGAGAUAUGGGAGGCCUACAAGACCAGAAGACCAAACGACCUGAGGCUCAAUAAGGACCUCUACUUCUUCACCCAACACAAGAAGAUGA